This 252-nucleotide ribosomal RNA is filed under the name uncultured bacterium. RNAcentral describes it as "partial 16S ribosomal RNA". It matches the Rfam family "Bacterial small subunit ribosomal RNA", at positions 524 to 776 of the family's 1533-position model. The record is from RNAcentral.
UACAUAGGGUGCAAGCGUUGUCCGGAAUUAUUGGGCGUAAAGAGCUCGUAGGUCGUUUGUUACGUCGGAUGUGAAAACCUGAGGCUCAACCUCAGGCCUGCAUUCGAUACGGGCAACUAGAGUUUGGUAGGGGAGACUGGAAUUCCUGGUGUAGCGGUGGAAUGCGCAGAUAUCAGGAGGAACACCAAUGGCGAAGGCAGGUCUCUGGGCCAAUACUGACACUGAGGAGCGAAAGUCUGGGGAGCGAACAGG